CUCAGAUUGAACGCUGGCGGCAUGCCUUACACAUGCAAGUCGAACGGCAGCACGGAGCUUGCUCUGGUGGCGAGUGGCGAACGGGUGAGUAAUAUAUCGGAACGUACCCUAGAGUGGGGGAUAACGUAGCGAAAGUUACGCUAAUACCGCAUACGAUCUAAGGAUGAAAGUGGGGGAUCGCAAGACCUCAUGCUCGUGGAGCGGCCGAUAUCUGAUUAGCUAGUUGGUAGGGUAAAAGCCUACCAAGGCAUCGAUCAGUAGCUGGUCCGAGAGGACGACCAGCCACACUGGAACUGAGACACGGUCCAGACUCCUACGGGAGGCAGCAGUGGGGAAUUUUGGACAAUGGGCGAAAGCCUGAUCCAGCAAUGCCGCGUGAGUGAAGAAGGCCUUCGGGUUGUAAAGCUCUUUUGUCAGGGAAGAAACGGUGAAAGCUAAUAUCUUUUGCUAAUGACGGUACCUGAAGAAUAAGCACCGGCUAACUACGUGCCAGCAGCCGCGGUAAUACGUAGGGUGCAAGCGUUAAUCGGAAUUACUGGGCGUAAAGCGUGCGCAGGCGGUUUUGUAAGUCUGAUGUGAAAUCCCCGGGCUCAACCUGGGAAUUGCAUUGGAGACUGCAAGGCUAGAAUCUGGCAGAGGGGGGUAGAAUUCCACGUGUAGCAGUG
This 665-nucleotide ribosomal RNA is filed under the name uncultured bacterium. RNAcentral describes it as "bacterial SSU rRNA". It matches the Rfam family "Bacterial small subunit ribosomal RNA", at positions 23 to 683 of the family's 1533-position model. The record is from RNAcentral.